GUGAGUAUGGUCAAGCACUGGAAGAAAUUGCCCAGAGUGAUUGUGAAGCCUCCAUACUUGGUGGUAUUCAAAACUUGUUUGGAUAUUGUACUAAGCAAUCUGUUAUAGCUGUCGUUUCUCUGAGCCAAGGCACUUGACUAGAAGUCUCCAGCCCAGACCACGAGUCGUGUCUGUGAGGAUGUGACCAGGACAAGGUCAGGACAAGACAUCAGCCCAUGGUUAGGGAUCAGGGUCAGGUUUGGUGAAGGGAAGCAGAGUCAAUCAAAAAAAUGGAAGGACAGGCAGGUCUUCAGGGUUGAGCAGAGGUGGUGUUGGGAUGUGGGAAUGUGAGUGGGCCUAGCUUGGCAAGGCCCAUUUCUUGGCACCGGGAACUAGAGUCCGGCCCUGCUGCAGCAUCACCGGGGCAGUGGCAGAGGGUCCUGGGCACUAAAAUGGUGUCCUGAGCCAUGGGCAGGAUGGGGAAGGCCCUCAGACAUUAAAGUCCAUAAUUGAACUCACGUUCCUUUCAGAUGUUCAUAGCAACUGAGGUGUACGUGCACAGAUUAUCAGAGAAACCAAAUUUGUCUCAUGUGCAAGUAAUAUCAUUAGAAAUAUUAAAGGCAGAUUCAUCAAUAUUUGGGACUUCAUAAGUGAAACCAAAAAAGAACAAGUUAGAGCAUGGAGACAAACAGUUCUACUGUAAUUCAAUCUUAAUAAGAAAUUGUCAAUUCCUAAUAAAGUCUUUUCCAGUCUA
This is a long non-coding RNA of Corapipo altera (White-ruffed manakin), 733 nucleotides long. RefSeq lists it as uncharacterized. The transcript has 3 exons. NCBI's taxonomy places the organism in Eukaryota, Metazoa, Chordata, Aves, Passeriformes, Pipridae. The record is from RefSeq and is a predicted model, not a curated record.